CCGUAGGUGAACCUGCGGAAGGAUCAUUAAUU
Molecule: ribosomal RNA, 32 nt
Filed under: Geopora cf. cervina KH.03.61
Lineage: Eukaryota; Fungi; Ascomycota; Pezizomycetes; Pezizales; Pyronemataceae
Description: partial 18S ribosomal RNA
Source: RNAcentral